UAUUUGACAAUGGGGGCAACCCUGAUCCAGCCAUGCCUCGUGUGUGAUGAAGGCCUUAGGGUUUUAAAGCUCUUUCACCGAUGAAGAUAAUGACGUUAGUCGGAUAAGAAGCCCCGGCUAACUUCGUUCCAGCAGCCGCGGUAAUACGAAGGGGGCUAGCGUUGUUCGGAUUUACUGGGCGUAAAGCGCACGUAGGCGGAUUGGUCAUUUAGAGGUGAAAUACCGAAGCUCAACUUCGGAAAUGCCUUUAAUAAUGCCAGUCUCGAGUCCGGAAGAGGUAAGUGGAACUACUAGUGUAGAGGUGGAAUUCGUAGAUAAUAGGAAGAACACCAGUGGCGAAGGCGGCUUACUGGUCCGGAACUGACGCUGAGGUGCGAAAGCGUGGGGAGCAAACAG
RNAcentral lists this ribosomal RNA (396 nucleotides) under uncultured bacterium. RNAcentral describes it as "partial 16S ribosomal RNA". It matches the Rfam family "Bacterial small subunit ribosomal RNA", at positions 362 to 775 of the family's 1533-position model. The record is from RNAcentral.